Molecule: ribosomal RNA, 254 nt
Filed under: uncultured bacterium
Lineage: Bacteria
Description: partial 16S ribosomal RNA
Rfam family: Bacterial small subunit ribosomal RNA
Source: RNAcentral
UACGUAGGGGGCGAGCGUUGUCCGGAUUCAUUGGGCGUAAAGAGCUCGUAGGCGGCUUGGCAAGUCGGGUGUGAAAACUCCAGGCUCAACCUGGAGACGCCACCCGAUACUGCCAUGGCUUGAGUCCGGUAGGGGACCACGGAAUUCCUGGUGUAGCGGUGAAAUGCGUAGAUAUCAGGAGGAACACCUGUGGCGAAAGCGGCUCACUGGACCAUAACUGACGCUGAUGCACGAAAGCUAGGGGAGCAAACAGG